Molecule: ribosomal RNA, 506 nt
Filed under: uncultured bacterium
Lineage: Bacteria
Description: partial 16S ribosomal RNA
Rfam family: Bacterial small subunit ribosomal RNA
Source: RNAcentral
AUUGAACGCUGGCGGCAGGCCUAACACAUGCAAGUCGAGCGGUAACACAGAAGAGCUUGCUCCUUGGGUGACGAGCGGCGGACGGGUGAGUAAUGCCUGGGGAUCUGCCCGAUAGAGGGGGAUAACUACGGGAAACUGUAGCUAAUACCGCAUAACGUCUACGGACCAAAGUGGGGGCUCUUCGGACCUCAUGCUAUCGGAUGAACCCAGGUGGGAUUAGCUAGUUGGUGAGGUAAUGGCUCACCAAGGCGACGAUCUCUAACUGGUUUGAGAGAAUGACCAGUCACACUGGAACUGAGACACGGUCCAGACUCCUACGGGAGGCAGCAGUGGGGAAUAUUGCACAAUGGGCGCAAGCCUGAUGCAGCCAUGCCGCGUGUGUGAAGAAGGCCUUCGGGUUGUAAAGCACUUUCAGCGAGGAGGAAGGGUUACUAGCUAAUACCUAGUGACAUUGACGUUACUCGCAGAAGAAGCACCGGCUAACUCCGUGCCAGCCGCCGCAGUAA